This is a long non-coding RNA of Rosa rugosa (rugosa rose), 966 nucleotides long. RefSeq lists it as uncharacterized. Lineage: Eukaryota; Viridiplantae; Streptophyta; Magnoliopsida; Rosales; Rosaceae. The transcript is spliced from 8 exons. The record is from RefSeq and is a predicted model, not a curated record.
GGUUAAAUUUCAGGAGUAAUCGGUGUUUCAGAUGAUGUUCUCUGGGCAUAUGCGUCUUUCGACAGUGGUUGACGUUUCUGCCCUUGCUUUGCUAUUAUAAUUUCAGUUUUGUUGUGGUGUCCGACACGAUGUCCGCUGGGUGUAUCCGUCUUUAGGUAUGGGAAAAUGUCUUCUGUUUGGGUUUGCGUUGGAAAAUUACCGAGCGAUCGAAGGGAUUGUGGUGUUUUGAUAGAAAGAGAAGUAAGAGUGUUUGGUUUCGAUAGUCUUCAAUCUGUUGUGUUGGUGGGUUUCGGGAGAGUAAGGAUUGCAGCAAUUUGUAGUUUAUGUAAAGGGAUGAGUUUAGGCGGUCUACUUAGGCGGCUAAUUAAUUACAUAUUAAUGUAUAUAGAGCUCGAUCAAUGAAGGGAAAAUUAAGAUACGGAUAGGAAAUGAGAAAUCUAGGCAGGGGAGACUACAGAGAAAAGUUUCUGUUUCUUGGUUUCUGCAUUUCGGACCGAAGCUGAAGGAGCAUCAAAUACUAUGUGGAUCAUCCUGAAGAGAUCAACAAGCAUCCAAAAACAAAGGACCAGUUCCAGAAAGCACUUACAGCUUGGCCAAUCACAUUACACCAUUUCCUAAACAACAGAACUCCCAGUGUAUUUGGUUCUCCUGAUUGUAAAAGACCAAUCAAGAACUCAGCUCCUCUUCAGCUUUAAAAGAUCAACGAGCAGGUACCACUAAUCAGCAAGGCGCAAAAAACGUCAACAAACAUCAAGCAAAGACGCAUGUCUCUUUGGAUAGUACUCAAGUAUCAUACAACACCUAUACCUUAUAUGUCAAUUCAUUUAAAAAGAAAACAAUUGAUGCAUUUAUACUACCCGCUGCAAACCAUGGGCUUUGUAAAUUGUAAUUGCUCAUAUCUUUCUACAACUGCAACAAAUGAAAUCAUCAAAUAUACAUUGCAGGAACUGCAUCAAUAUUCAGUCA